UGGGUCCCAUCAUCCCAAUGGUGUGCGAAUUUUGACAUCAAGCAAUAAUCAUUAUAUCCAAGCAACCCAAAAGAAGAAGACUUUUAAGAAGAUUUGCGUCGAGUUUAAUACAAUUCACUUCCAAAUUUGGAAAUUUUGCCCUCUCCUCACUUGGUAAAUGGUAUGUUGAUGAUUUCUACUUCUUUAUAAUUUGAUAACUUAUUUAAAAGAAUUGUCUACUUUCGUGUCACCGUUGGGCCAG
Molecule: long non-coding RNA, 241 nt
Organism: Arabidopsis thaliana (thale cress)
Lineage: Eukaryota; Viridiplantae; Streptophyta; Magnoliopsida; Brassicales; Brassicaceae
Product: other RNA
Exons: 1
Source: RefSeq